CCGCCAUGAUUGUGAGGCUUCCCCAGCCAUGUGGAAACAUAUUCGCAGAGCACCCACUAGGUGCCAGUAAAUGUAUGAGAAGUCCUGUGGAAUAAGACUGAAGUUGUCCUUGCCUUCAAGCAACUUGCAAUUGCCUAAGAACACAGUUUAAAACCACAAAACUAAGCCUUGGAAAUCACAUGCUGUCAUUUCUGCGAUCGGUCAUAACCAGUCCUGAUUCCAUGUUAGAGGAGACUACAUAAGGACACAGGUACCAGAAGAAACUUCUAAGUGCUGCUGUAUUUCACCAAGCUCCAGUUGAUAUCCAAAUUGGACAACUCCUGUGUGCCAGGACAAUUAAAAGGUAAAGUUGAAAAAUGAUUUGAACAACAAAGGCAAAUUAAAAGCCCUCCCUGGAGCAAAGAUUGAAUCAAGAGUAUGGCUGUUAUGCUUCUGUUAAAACCUCUGAAUCAGUUAAGAGAAACGUAUGUCUCAACAGGGCCUGAUUAUUCACCUGGGCAACAGAAUCCAAGAACAUAGGCCACAGAGGCACAGUAGCUGACCCACAGCCUCUAACGUGUAAACUUCCUAUGUAAGCUGUCUCAUUUUCUCCGAAGCCAUGUGCUUGUUUUGCAGUAUCAUGUGGAAGAAAUAUUUGAAGGAUUUAGACUAAUUUUAAAUCCUGCUUCUGCUGCUUGCCAGGAGCAUGUCAACAGGGCCACCAAGAUGACACUGAGGCCCCUACCCAGCAUCCCAAAGGCAGUAUCACAGCAAAAGCUUUAAAAAAUAAAUUUAUAUUUCCUUCAUCACAAAUGUUAUGAAUACCAAUUAUAGAAAAUGUAGAAAUCCAAUAAAUUAGAAAGAAGAGAGAAAAAAUUACCCAAAGCCUACCACUCAGAAGUUACAGAGGACCUACAAUGAGCCAGUUAAUAUGGACAUGAGCAAAGAAGAGAUAUGCUCCUAUGACCAGAGUUUCUAAAAGAAGAGAUGACUAAGGAAGAAAUGACAGCAAGCUUGAAAAUGUAAUCUGGAAAUAUGACCUCAGGUGCUACAGAAACCACUGUGGCUGCAAAAGGAGCCCUCUCAUGAAUCCAGAUUGUCAAAAUUAUGUGCAAAAUAUUGAAGGAGAGACACAUAGAAAAAGACUACAAAAGAAUAACAUGAAGCUAAGAAAAACAGAGCCAGAAAAUCUAAACCCUUUGCAGUAACAGAGCAGGCAUUAUAGUUUUUAUUCACAGAUGGGUAAACUGAAACUAAGAAAGAUUAAGGAACUUGAUUGUAUCUCAUACCUAGUUAAAUGGUACUGAGGCCUGCUCUUUCAUUCCUUCCACUACCCUGCUGCCCAAAGCUAACGUUUCUGUUCUCUGUGGUGCAAACCUAAAGGAGUCACAUGUUUCCCUGGAGAAAAUAAACCAAAAAUUCCAACCUUUCUUCAUGUUCAUAUAGACCGCCUAUACACAAAGGAAAAGGAAAUAUUUAUUAGUCUUCAAAAUAUUCUUUUUGCUGAGAGUUGGAAUAAGAUAAUCCCUGAGAAGGAAGGGAUAUCAAUAUACUUUUUCCUGACAUCAAAAAAUUAGGAUAUGUCACAAUGUUUAAUUUUUUUCUAGGUCAGUUUUUAUAAUCUUUCAUAUGUUUUGAAUUACUGUAGUCAGCUGCCUGAUUUUAAAAGCUUGUUUGAA
Molecule: long non-coding RNA, 1658 nt
Filed under: Homo sapiens (human)
Lineage: Eukaryota; Metazoa; Chordata; Mammalia; Primates; Hominidae
Description: HSALNT0318655
Source: RNAcentral